GAAGGGCUGCGAAGCAAAUCCGGGUUUAUCUGGACACAGCUAGGUCAUACUUGUCUUGGGUCAGUCUCUUCCAGGCUUUCAUUCCAGUGAGCCGCAGACAGGUAACAGGUGGGACAGAUGAGAAGAUCAGUGCUCAGAGGAGUGGAAGGCACACUUGUCCAAGGUACACACUACGGCAGAGACAAUAUUGAACAUAGGAGGACACCAAGGUCUGAACUCUUAACCAGUAUUGUACGUGGUUUUAUGGGUUGCCAUAAACCUUCAAUUUGUGAAAAACAUGUUAUCUGUGAAGAGCAAUAAAGUGAAGUGCAAUAAAAUGAGUGAAUAUAAUCACAGCGAGGAUGGUCCUUGCCCGCAAGUCUAUUUGCCCGGCUGGCAACUGGCCACACCUGGAAGGACUUGCUGCUCCUACUUGCUUAACAUACUAACCUUGACGGCUACAGGGAAACUUAGAGACAUCAUCCUGCCUUGGCUCCGUGGGUGCUAAGGUCCUCUGCUUGAUAUUGGCCCUGCCAGGAAUCACCAGCCAGUCCUGCUUUCCCUGGAAGGCACACAUAGAUGACACAACCGCCCUCACUGGGCAAAUGAUUCUGGAAAGGUCAUGCCCUCUACACUUCUGCUUAGACCUGGGCUUAA
This is a long non-coding RNA of Hyaena hyaena (striped hyena), 636 nucleotides long. RefSeq lists it as uncharacterized. NCBI's taxonomy places the organism in Eukaryota, Metazoa, Chordata, Mammalia, Carnivora, Hyaenidae. The transcript has 4 exons. The record is from RefSeq and is a predicted model, not a curated record.